Molecule: unclassified non-coding RNA, 88 nt
Filed under: Pseudomonas grimontii
Lineage: Bacteria; Pseudomonadati; Pseudomonadota; Gammaproteobacteria; Pseudomonadales; Pseudomonadaceae
Source: RNAcentral
GUGGGAGGGGGCUUGCCCCCGAUGGCGCCUUGUCAGUCAGCAUAGUUGUUGACUGAACUGCCGCUAUCGGGGGCAAGCCCCCUCCCAC